This 859-nucleotide long non-coding RNA is filed under the name Ricinus communis (castor bean). RNAcentral's name for it is "long non-coding RNA (RCOM_LNC003531)". Lineage: Eukaryota; Viridiplantae; Streptophyta; Magnoliopsida; Malpighiales; Euphorbiaceae. The record is from RNAcentral.
UUCAAUGAAUUAAAACUGAGAUUAUACAUUGGGUUGGAGUUUUCUCAUAUUGAUUUAUCUUCUCAAAUUUUAUUAUUGCUUCUAAUUGAUUUCUAGUUUAAUUUGUUUUGAUUCCAAAUUUAAAAUCUCUCUAAUUUUAUUUGAAUUUUGUUAAAGAAAUAAAUCUUACCAAUCUCUAUGGAUUCGACCCUACUUGUCACUAUUUACAAGUUGUUUUUAUUUGAAGAAUAGGAACUUAUUUUUGUUGGAUUCGACACCCAUCACAAACACUAGAGAAAGACAAGUUGUGCAAGUUGUUGCUUCAAUGACAACGAGGACGAGCCGAACAACGAUGAGCAUCAAAAAUGUCGUAGAGCAUCAACGCCGUCGCAAAGAAUCAAUGUCAUCGCAAAGCAUCAAAGUUCUCGCGGAAAAUCAACAUGGACGCAGGAUUUUAGAGGAAGAAUAGAAGAAAAAUGGCACUUUUUGAAUACUUAGGAUUUAAUAAAGAAGAAAAAGGAAAUAGAUUUUGGGGAUUCAAUGGAAAUAGGGAAGAUAACUUCUUUUUUCCCUUCCUUUUAGUUUUUGUUUCUUUUAAUUAAUAAAAAUAUUACAUUUAAAAAAUUUAAUUAAAUAUUGAUGAAACACUCCUAAUGUCAGUUUAAUGGCAACUUUAUUAGCCAUGUCAGGGAUAAAUAAUGAAAGUUCAUUCUGUUUAGUUUUCAGUAAGAUAGAAGGACCUGAAUUACGAAUUUUGUAAAGUUUCAUAGCUCAUCUGCUCUUCGGCCUCAACAUUAAGGGUGAAAAUGCACCUUCUCCCUUGUAGAAUUUAUUGGAGAGGAAAUUUUUUUAUUUUUUUUCAUGUUGGUUAUAACAAAAC